GCUCAACCGGGGAGGGUCAUUGGAAACUGGGAGACUUGAGUGCAGAAGAGGAGAGUGGAAUUCCAUGUGUAGCGGUGAAAUGCGUAGAUAUAUGGAGGAACACCAGUGGCGAAGGCGGCUCUCUGGUCUGUAACUGACGCUGAGGCUCGAAAGCGUGGGGAGCAAACAGGAUUAGAUACC
Molecule: ribosomal RNA, 180 nt
Filed under: Enterococcus saigonensis
Lineage: Bacteria; Bacillati; Bacillota; Bacilli; Lactobacillales; Enterococcaceae
Description: partial 16S ribosomal RNA
Rfam family: Bacterial small subunit ribosomal RNA
Source: RNAcentral